AGCAGCCGCGGUAAUUCCAGCUCCAAUAGCGUAUAUUAAAGUUGUUGCAGUUAAAAGCUCGUAGUUGAAUUUCGGGAUCAAUACGUCGGUCGUGCUUCGGUACGUACUGGCGUAAUUGAUUUCUCCCUUCUGACGAACCAUGAUGUCAUUAACUUGGUGUCAUGGGAAAUCAGGACUGUUACUUUGAAAAAUUAGAGUGUUUAAAGCAGGCUCACGCUUGAAUACAUUAGCAUGGAAUAAUGAAAUAGGACGUUCGAUCCUAUUUUGUUGGUUUUUAGGAUCAACGUAAUGAUUAAUAGGGAUAGUUGGGGGCAUUAGUAUUCAAUUGUCAGAGGUGAAAUUCUUGGAUUUAUUGAAGACUAACUACUGCGAAAGCAUUUGCCAAGGAUGUUUUCAUUAAUC
This 402-nucleotide ribosomal RNA is filed under the name uncultured Glomeromycotina. Its description in RNAcentral is "SSU rRNA". It matches the Rfam family "Eukaryotic small subunit ribosomal RNA", at positions 569 to 978 of the family's 1831-position model. Lineage: Eukaryota; Fungi; Glomeromycota. The record is from RNAcentral.